GACGCCAAGCAAGUCGUGGUCAGUAGGGCUGUUCGCUGUGUGUUUGUUGAUUCAGGAUGCAGUAAAAGCUCCUAGAACACCUCUAGUCACCGAGUACAUUGACAACAACGUUAUCCAGAAACGACACACGGGCGUACUGUUAGGUUCAGUUUUGACACUUGGAGUCUUCGGUCUAGCAAUUGCAUUUGUAUUAGGAGGGAUCUUCUCUGCUAUACCAGUCGAUUUGAGUGACACAGCUCUAACGAGACGCGACCCACGAUGGAUUGGUGCUUGGUGGUUAGGCUUUUUGGUGCUGGGGGUGAUCUCCGUCGUCCUAGCCGUCCCGUUGUUCUUCUACCCAAAACAGCAGACAAGUCGGCCCCUGGUCCCAACUGAGCAGCACCCAUAUCCGACGACUGAGGAGCUGUCAAACCAGA
Long non-coding RNA from Haliotis rufescens (red abalone), 416 nucleotides. RefSeq lists it as uncharacterized. The transcript has 3 exons. The record is from RefSeq and is a predicted model, not a curated record. NCBI's taxonomy places the organism in Eukaryota, Metazoa, Mollusca, Gastropoda, Lepetellida, Haliotidae.